CCUACGGGGCGCACCAGUGGGGAAUAUUGCACAAUGGGCGCAAGCCUGAUGCAGCCAUGCCGCGUGUGUGAAGAAGGCCUUCGGGUUGUAAAGCACUUUCAGCGGGGAGGAAGGCGCCAAGGUUAAUAACCUUGGCGAUUGACGUUACCCGCAGAAGAAGCACCGGCUAAUUCCGUGCCAGCAGCCGCGGUAAUACGGAGGGUGCAAGCGUUAAUCGGAAUUACUGGGCGUAAAGCGCACGCAGGCGGUCUGUCAAGUCGGAUGUGAAAUCCCCGGGCUCAACCUGGGAACUGCACUCGAAACUGGCAGGCUAGAGUCUUGUAGAGGGGGGUAGAAUCCCAGGUGUAGCGGUGAAAUGCGUAGAGAUCUGGAGGAAUACCGGUGGCGAAGGCGGCCCCCUGGACAAAGACUGACGCUCAGGUGCGAGAGCGUGGGGAGCAAACAGGAUUAGAUACCCGAGUAGUC
Molecule: ribosomal RNA, 465 nt
Filed under: uncultured bacterium
Lineage: Bacteria
Description: bacterial SSU rRNA
Rfam family: Bacterial small subunit ribosomal RNA
Source: RNAcentral